This 476-nucleotide long non-coding RNA is filed under the name Capra hircus (goat). RNAcentral's name for it is "lncRNA (ENSCHIG00000007652.1)". Lineage: Eukaryota; Metazoa; Chordata; Mammalia; Artiodactyla; Bovidae. The record is from RNAcentral.
UUCAAGUGGAAGAUCUCAACAGUUGAACAGGAGCAAGUACUUUUAACCCAACUGCUGAAUCUCAGCUAAGGGUUCAGAUUAUCAGGAGAAAAUAUGAUGGACUGGCCAUGGGCAUCAUACAUCACUUGUGAAAGAAGAUCCAGUACCAGAUUAAGUACUGCCCAAGGACCCCAAGAUGACAAACAUUGCCCAUCUCUUUUGAAGUUGAAUUGUCCUCUGCAAUGUGCCUUGUGACUAAGCUUUGGUUGCAUCACAAAAUUCAGAAUUUACAUUGCCAUAUACAAGCUAUGAGUAUAUAUUAUUAUUUCCACUUACAACAUUUAGGGGACUGGAAAUGCUUUCUAUCAGUGUUAACAGACAGGAACUGGCUUGGAAUGUUUCCCUGGACUGAGCACCUCAACGUGGCAGAGAGAUUUCCAUGGGUCAUUCCUUUGCAACUGCAAAGAGUUCACAGCAGGGUCUGUGCUAAUGGAUGA